UACGUAGGUGACCAGCGUUGUUCGGAAUUACUGGGCGUAAAGGGCUCGUAGGCGGCCAACUAAGUCGGAUGUGAAAUCCCCAGGCUUAACCUGGGAACUGCAUCCGAUACUGGAUGGCUUGAAUCCGGGAGAGGGAUGCAGAAUUCCAGGUGUAGCGGUGAAAUGCGUAGAUAUCAGGAGGAACACCGGUGGCGAAGGCGGGUCUCUGGGCAGUAACUGACGCUGAGGAGCGAAAGCGUGGGGAGCGAACAGG
RNAcentral lists this ribosomal RNA (253 nucleotides) under uncultured bacterium. Its description in RNAcentral is "partial 16S ribosomal RNA". It matches the Rfam family "Bacterial small subunit ribosomal RNA", at positions 524 to 776 of the family's 1533-position model. The record is from RNAcentral.